Non-coding RNA from Microcebus murinus (gray mouse lemur), 2153 nucleotides. Lineage: Eukaryota; Metazoa; Chordata; Mammalia; Primates; Cheirogaleidae. The record is from RefSeq and is a predicted model, not a curated record.
GGCUGGCAGUUUUAAAUCAAGCAGGUGCAGCUCAUCUGAGGGGCUAAGUCUGGAAAGGAUUCCAGGCCUUUCUGGGACCCAAACACAACCUUCACCUUCAUGCUAUUCUGAGACCCAAUAAACGUCCCUACUUGGAUAAACCAGUUUGGGUUGGGUUUCUGUCACUUGCAACCAAAGGAGACCUGCCUGUUACAGUCUGCACUGGGUUAACCAUCUGUGGAAUGGUGGCCUGACAACCUGUCACCUCUCCAUGGAGGCCACAACAUUUCAACAUCAUUAGUCACCAAGGAAGUCUGGGAGAUAUUUCCACCAACCGCAGCAACACGGAGGUGAAAGAUAAAGUUUUGUCACUGUAUCCACUCCUCCUCUGAAAGAAGAUGGCAGGAUUGGACAGCAAGAAAGUGAGUCUGUCACAAGCCGCACAACUCAACUGGAGUCCUGAGCAGGUGACCAGAUCAGGAUGCUGGCCUGGGAGACUCCCCAGAAAUCCCCAGGUAUCGGAACAAGGUCAAGGCGUUUUGCGAGCAGGAGGGCGGAGCCGGCAGAAUCUUCAACAGCAUCCAGGUCAGCUCUGUCACGUGCAGAUGACACAGCCCAGGACCAGGAGGUGUGGGGACUCAUGCAGGCUUGCACAUACAAACCAAGCUACAGGCAUAUCCUUAAAGCAAACUCCCGAAAAUUCCAUGUGAGCAGUUCCACAUGCUGGUCUGACGUCCUCGGUGGCUGCCUGUGUUUGAGGUACCAGGGCCGCCGUUCGGAGUAAAUGAGUGGAGGUGCUGUAGUUUGUGUACGGCAGGAACCGGCUGCUCCUGGACCGCUCCACUGGGGCAGCUGCCGUAGGCAUCGGUCCUGCUGCAGAUGUCUGGGGAGCAGCCAGGCUGGCAGGCCCAGGCAGCAGCCAAGGGUCUGGGGACGAGGGGGAGGGGCCGGGAGGCAGGCUGCAGGGCCUGGCCUCCACCCUGGCAGGAGGCAAGCCCAGUGCCACAAAAUCCUGCUGGGUGGGCAGGUGGCAUGGGUGGAGGGGAGGACCAGCAGGUGGCAGGGUCCAGCCACCGAGUGGGGCAGGAAAGAACUCCAGUCACAGGACGGAGCAAGCCAGGGCCCUCAUCUUCACACUGGACGGGUGACCAAGGCAGGAACUGGGGCCCAAGGAUCAAGUCAGAAGCUGCGUUGUUAGGUAGGAUCGAGUUGGGUUAAGAAGAAUGGAAACCUCCAAGUAUCAUUGACUCAAACAGGCACCGCACACCAGUGUAUCUCCCGCUCCGGAGGGAGUUGGGCGGCGACCUCAAUUUUGGCUAACAGGACAGGAACUGAUUCACCAGUGGUGUGAAGUCCUCUUCCCUGGAAUUUGGUGCCAUGCCAUUUGGCUCCCUGGGCUGCUAAAGUGCCUCUGAGUAAGGGAUCGAUUAAGGGGUGAGGGAAGGAAGAAUCGAUCUCUUCCAGGAUUGGAGAGCCCGCCCUGGCUGACGCGCAGUGCUGCCUUGGUUGUGUGCCAGAGGAUGGGACGGGGAGUUUCCUUAGCCGGGACCACCAGCGAAUUAAUCUCCUGUCGUGGACGUCCCGGGAAAACUGACUCGAGAGGGAAGGAAGGGAGGUCCGAAGCACUGGAGGCUGGGGAAAUGUAAUCAAGAUGUAACUUUUUGAUCGAGCAAAGCAAAGUCAGGGUCCUGACAAGUGACCCGAAGUUUAAAAACAUCAAGACUCCACUAGUGGUUCUCAUGGGUGGCUGGGGGAUGACAAAAUCACGUGUGCAUUAAGAAAUAGGCCCUGUCCCCACAUCGGGGCCCUGUCCGUAAGUGUGAGUAAUGCGAACAGGAACAGUGUCCUGGGCCACAGUACUACGGUGAGCGGAAAUGGCCCCAGAGGGUACGGGUCGUGAGGGCUUGGGGGAAGGUGGGAUCUGUUCGAUUUUUGUAACCAUCUGAGUGUGGGUGUGGGUGCCCCAAAUAUGUGAGGCAGUCAGUUGAAAGUCGCUCAAUAGUAGGACAGAGAUUUCCCCACGUUGCCCACAUCGUUGCCUGGCUAACGCCCCAAGUCUUAGUGGACAGGCAUGCCCAGCGGGUUUGGUUUGACAGGGCAAAAGGUGUCUUGCUUAUGGGUAAACACUUUAUUUUUAUUUAUUUUUUUGUACAGUGUUUAUUGUCCCUUUUGUU